This 273-nucleotide ribosomal RNA is filed under the name uncultured bacterium. Its description in RNAcentral is "partial 16S ribosomal RNA". It matches the Rfam family "Bacterial small subunit ribosomal RNA", at positions 524 to 796 of the family's 1533-position model. The record is from RNAcentral.
UACGGAGGGUGCGAGCGUUGUCCGGAAUCACUGGGCGUAAAGGGCGCGUAGGCGGCCCGUUAAGCGUGCGGUGAAAGCCCGGGGCUCAACUCCGGGUCGGCCGUGCGAACUGGCGGGCUCGAGCACUGUAGAGGCAGGUGGAAUUCCGGGUGUAGCGGUGGAAUGCGUAGAGAUCCGGAAGAACACCGGUGGCGAAGGCGGCCUGCUGGGCAGUAGCUGACGCUGAGGCGCGACAGCGUGGGGAGCAAACAGGAUUAGAAACCCCCGUAGUCC